GUUGUCGUGGCCGAGUGGUUAAGGUGAUGGACUAGAAAUCUUUAAGGAUCUUCCCGCGUAGGUUGAAUCCUGCCGACAUCG
This 81-nucleotide transfer RNA is filed under the name Dreissena polymorpha. It matches the Rfam family "tRNA". Rfam says of the family: Transfer RNA (tRNA) molecules are approximately 80 nucleotides in length. Their secondary structure includes four short double-helical elements and three loops (D, anti-codon, and T loops). Lineage: Eukaryota; Metazoa; Mollusca; Bivalvia; Myida; Dreissenidae. The record is from Rfam by way of RNAcentral.